AAUUAUACUGAAGUAGUAAAGGUACGUCUAACACAUCUUUCCCAUCGGCCUAUUUUUGUACCGUAAGUAGCAUAUGUUUCAUCCAUAGGGUGUUUUAGAUUUUGGUAAAUUAGCAUGGGUUGUUUUCUGUAUGGUCAGUAUGAAGGAAUUGGAAAGGCCAACCUUUGAUGCUAUCUUUGACAGGUAAGAGAACCAAAAUGAGCUUUCUGAGGCAUGUAUUUGUUAUAUGCAGUGGAUCUUCACUAUGUACUGAAUCAGGGCAAAUAAGAGUAGCAGCAAAAAUUCUGCAUAUGGGCGAUACUUAGUGAUUUGUUGAUAAUGAGUUUUGCUCCAUUAACUAGUGAUUGUCUUGCCUAGAGAAAACUACAAUAAGAGUAGGUGCAGAACUGAGGCGUUACUUAGUUGUUUUUCUAGAAAUCUACUUGUGUAUUUGUUAGAUUCUUUUGUGAUUUGUUUGCACCUGUGAUUUCUGAAGUAACCAAUCUUAUUUCAUGUUGAUGCAAGAUGUGACCAGACUGGAUCUGCCUUCUGGAUAGCGAGCAGCAGUGCUUGGGCCGGUGGUUCCAUGGAGAUGUUCUUCUGCUGCUAUGUGGUAUACAACUAAUGAGAAUUGAAUAGGGAUAGUUAGUGAUUUGAUUUGAGGAUGAAUUUUGUGAGGAUGUGUGCUGGUCAUCUACUGAAUAAAAUUAUUUUUACUCAAUCUACUUUGGUGCAUGAUGAGUUGAAAGGCACAUCUGUAGGUAUAAGAGGAUAGGAAUGUUUGAGAAUUAAUAUGCUAGGAACAUCUGAUAAUCAGUACGGAGUAUGUUAAGAAAUUAGUAAGUUGAGAAUAUUGUUAUAGGUUUAUCUAAAAGAUCUACAUGCUUUUAGUAUGUAGUCCUGAGCUGAUCUAUCUAAUUAAACUAGAACCGUUAUAUCUUGUUCCACAAUCAGUAUUAUUUUAACUGCUUAUUGCUUCCUUAUUUUAGGCAUAUAGUGCACAUAGUUAAUUACAAGUGACUGGGAUGCAGAGCCCACAGACCUACGGUAUGGAAACAGGCAUAGAGUUGGUGCUAUCUAAGGUGGAUGCACAUGGCGGCGUAGGGCAGCAGGGAAGCACCUUGCCUUUCAUGUCGAUUGGCAUUGGGUCAAUGGUGAUAAGUGUAGCUUUACUAACAUGUACAGAACCACCUUUAGUAUUUGUUGAUGUUCCACUACACUUGUCAUCAUGUGAAUAUUUUAAACUAGGCAACCAUUAGUGUGUAUGCUACUUAUAAUGUUGUAACUGUAUUGCAUUUUAAAACCUGAAUGCUUGUGAUAUUGCAAGGAUUUGUGGAGAUUACUUAUUUGAAUC
Long non-coding RNA from Sorghum bicolor (sorghum), 1333 nucleotides. RefSeq lists it as uncharacterized. Lineage: Eukaryota; Viridiplantae; Streptophyta; Magnoliopsida; Poales; Poaceae. The record is from RefSeq and is a predicted model, not a curated record. The transcript has 2 exons.